Molecule: ribosomal RNA, 466 nt
Filed under: uncultured bacterium
Lineage: Bacteria
Description: partial 16S ribosomal RNA
Rfam family: Bacterial small subunit ribosomal RNA
Source: RNAcentral
GAUGAACGCUGGCGGCGUGCUUAACACAUGCAAGUCGAACGGAAAGGCCCAAGCUUGCUUGGGUACUCGAGUGGCGAACGGGUGAGUAACACGUGGGUGAUCUGCCCUGCACUUCGGGAUAAGCCUGGGAAACUGGGUCUAAUACCGGAUAAGACCACAUUUUGGAUGGUGUGGUGGAAAGUUUUUCGGUGUGGGAUGAGCUCGCGGCCUAUCAGCUUGUUGGUGGGGUAAUGGCCUACCAAGGCGUCGACGGGUAGCCGGCCUGAGAGGGUGUACGGCCACAUUGGGACUGAGAUACGGCCCAGACUCCUACGAGAGGCAGCAGUGGUUAAUAUUGCACAAUGGGCGCAAGCCUGAUGCAGCGACUCCGCGUGGGGGAUGACGGCCUUCGGGUUGUAAACUCCUUUCGCUAGGGACGAAGCGUUAUGUGACGGUACCUGGAGAAGAAGCACCGGCUAACUACGUG